UUGUGGAGGAGGACGCCGAAGGUGGGGCUAAUGACUGGGGUGAAGUCGUAACAAGGUAGCCGUACCGGAAGGUGCGGCUGGAUCACCUCCUAACAGGGAGACAACAAAAUGUUUAAUAUUAAUUUUGUCACCUUAGGUCGAUCGGUAUCUCACAUUCUUAAUUAUUUAAGGAUUUCAUUUCCUAAGUUUUUUCUAGGUCACACCCAUUACUUUUCCUGGGCCAUUAGCUCAGGUGGUUAGAGCGCACCCCUGAUAAGGGUGAGGUCCCUGGCUCAAGUCCAGGAUGGCCCAUAUCUCUAUGUUGGGGGUAUAGCUCAGUUGGUAGAGCGCCUGCUUUGCAAGCAGGAUGUCAGCGGUUCGAGUCCGCUUACCUCCACUGAUCACCACCUCUUCCAUAAAUUUUUAGAAGGGAAACGUUUUGAGCUGUGAUCAAAUUCUGAACGAAUCUAGCUUCCUAAUAUUUUAUUAAGAAGCUGGACUCAUUGAAUUAAUUUCAUUGUUUUCAGAGAACCUUGACAACUGCAUAGAUUAUUUUUAAAGACAAUAAGCAUCUUUAUUGAUGCAGAUUUAUUAUUUGUGCAAAUGCAUUAAUAACAAUUCUAUUAAGCUGAUGCUUCAAUUAUUGAAGUUAUUGGUCAAGCUACAA
RNAcentral lists this unclassified non-coding RNA (646 nucleotides) under uncultured Prochlorococcus sp. RNAcentral describes it as "partial 16S-23S ribosomal RNA intergenic spacer; may also contain 16S ribosomal RNA and 23S ribosomal RNA". The stretch from base 304 to 376 matches the Rfam family "tRNA". Lineage: Bacteria; Bacillati; Cyanobacteriota; Cyanophyceae; Synechococcales; Prochlorococcaceae. The record is from RNAcentral.